AAAAAGGUUCAGUUGGCUAAUUAUGCCACAUUCAUCCUUGUUGGUGAGUGUUGUAUGGCUAGCAAGACAUAUGACUGAUAUUAUUUUUGUGAAAUUAUAGGAUUGGCUCGCCAAGCCGACCCUAAAA
Trifolium pratense (red clover) is the source of this 127-nucleotide small nuclear RNA. RefSeq annotates it as U11 spliceosomal RNA. NCBI's taxonomy places the organism in Eukaryota, Viridiplantae, Streptophyta, Magnoliopsida, Fabales, Fabaceae. The transcript has a single exon. The record is from RefSeq and is a predicted model, not a curated record.